This 5804-nucleotide long non-coding RNA is filed under the name Homo sapiens (human). RNAcentral's name for it is "HSALNT0263560". Lineage: Eukaryota; Metazoa; Chordata; Mammalia; Primates; Hominidae. The record is from RNAcentral.
AGGCAGGGUCGGCGUGGCAGCCGUCUGGAGGAAGAGGUGGAGUCAGGGGAAUCCCGGCCGCACCCCCGCCCGCCUCCCCCUGGCCCCGGAGCGCCUUGCCCCGCUCACCCGGGCUGCAGCAGAGGCCCAAGACCGCGCAGCGGCCCCCGCUCCCGCACGCCUUCUGGCCGGACUGGCAGGGCGACGGCAGGGAACCCAACCUGUAGGGAACCCAACCUGAGGCAGAAUGGAAGAAAUGAGAAGCACUGUGAGAGACCAGCCUCACUGGUGGGCCAGUCCCCGACCCCUGGGAGAAGAGAACGGGACAGCUCCAGACUCUCCUGCCCUCUUGUUGAGGAAGGUGAAGAGGCUGAUGGGGCCAAGCAGGUCACAGAGCUCAUCUGACCCUAGUCACUGGCAUGAGUCACUGGCAUGAGCUGUCCAGCACCCAGGAGCCGGUCAGGCUGACCUGCAUUACAAAUCAGCAGCCAGUCCUCUCUCACCCAGAUUAGCUUAUUGGCAUUCAGGGCCUAGAAGUCCAAGGGCCUGACCCAGCAGUGGCCCAGAGAGGUCUCUCACCUGCUCUGUGGGCACGAUGACCUCACUUAAGCUAACACAUGUGCAUAAAUUACCAUAGUAUUAUGUCCCCCAGAUGGGCUGCAUCCCUUCACCUGUUCAACAACCCCUCUUCUGAAGAUGCUCCGGGUCCCAUUACAAAUGCCUGGAAACAGCAGCAACAAAACACAAAAACCUCUGCCCUCAUGGGGCUUAUAUUCUAGUGGAGGAAGAGAGAUGUUAAACAAUAAACACAUUUCAGUUAGUUAGGAAACAAGUAUAAACAAUAAACAUACUUCAGUAACAACAUACAUAUUGCAGUAGAUUAGUAAGUGCUACAGAGAUAAAAGGGAGGCCUGUUGCGAUUUCACCGAGGGUGGUCAGUGUAGACUUCUUUGUGAAGAAGAGAAAAUAAACCAUGCAGAUAUCUGAGGGGACAUUGGUUUUCUGUUGCUGUGUAACAAAUUACCACAGGCCAGGCACGGUGGCUUGUGCCUGUAAUCCCAGCACUUUGGGAGUCUGAAGCGAGAGGAUCACUUAAGCCCAGGAAUUAGAGACCAGCCUGGGCAACAUAGGGAGACCCAGGCUCUAUAAAAUGUUUUUAAAAAAUUAGCUGGGUUUGUUGGCAUGCACCUGCAGUCCCAGCUACUUGGGAGGCUGAGACAGGAAGAUCACUUGAGCCCAGGAGUUCGAGGCUGCAGUGAACUAGGAUGAUGCCACUGCACUCCAGCCUAGGCGACGGAGCGUGACUCUGUCUCAAAACGAAAACAAAAACACAAAAGCUACCACAAUUUGGCAGCUUAAAACAACAUUUGCUUAUUACAUUGGGCCAGGCAUGGCUUAGCUGGGUCUUUUGCUCUGGGGCUACGAUCAGGGUGUCAGCCAGGCUGCAUUCAUUUCCAGAGCCCGGGUGAUUGUUAGCAGAAUUCAUUUCCUUGCAGCUGUCAAACUCGUGGUGGCCUGCUUCUUCAAGGUCAGGAACAGAGAGAGUCUCUGCUGCUUCAAGUCUAAGCACACAGGGAGUCCUUUUCUGAGGGGCACCUGACCUGAUUAGGUCAGACCCACACGGAUCACCACCCUUUUAACUCGGAUUGAUCAGGUGUCUUCAUUACAUCUGCAGAAUCCCCUCACCUUUGCCAUAUAACGUAGUAUAGUCGUGGUUAUCACCUUUGUCAUCUUCUUCUAAUGUUUAGAAGAAAGUUGGCUGGGCACAGUGGGCCACGCCUGUUUUUGUUUUUGUUUUGAGACUGAGUCACGCUCCGUGGCCCAGGCUGGAGCGUGGUUGGCUGGGCGCGCUGGCUCCCAGCACUUUGGGAGGCCAGCGGUGGGUGGAUCACUUGAGGUCAGGAGUUCGAGACCAGUCUGGCCAAUAUGGUGAAACCCCGUCUCUACUAAAAAAAAUACAAACAAAUUUAGCCGGGCGCAGUGGUGGAAGCCUUUAGUCCCAUCUACUCGGGAGGUGGAGGAACCCAGGAGGUGGAGGUGGCAGUGAGCCGAGAUCACGCCACUGCACUUCAGCCUGGGUGACAGAGUGAGACUCUGUCCGUCUCAAAAAAAAAAAAAAAAAGCUAUGGGUUCUACCCACAUGAAGCCAGAAAAGAUUACACAAAGGUAAUCAUUGUGUAAUCCACAGAAAGAUACCAGGGGCUGAGAAUUUCAGGGAUCCACUUUAGCAUUCUGCCUGUAAUGGAGGGGAGGAAAUGACAAGUGCUGAGGUCCUGAGGCAGGAAUGUGCCUGGCAUGUUCAAGGAGCAAGGAGGCCAGUGGUCCUGGAGCAGAGUGACUGAACUCCCGAGAUCGGAAAGGUAACGUGGGACUGCACCUCACAGGGCUUGGGCUUUUCCUCCAAAUGAAAUGGGGGAAUGAGAGGGAGUUCUGAGCCAGCUUACGAUAACUUUGGAUAUAGUGCUGUGACAAGACUGUGGGGAACCAGGCGCGGUGGCUCACACCUGUUAUCCCCGCACUUUGGGAGGCUGAGGUGGGUGGAUCAUGAGGUCAGGAGAUCAAGACCAUCCUGGCUAACAUGGUGAAACUCCGUCUCUACUAAAAAUACAAAAAAAUUAGCUGGGCAUGGUGGCUGGCGCCUGUAGUCCCAGCUACUCUGGAGGCUGAGGCAGGAGAAUCGCUUGAACCCGGGAGGUGGAGGUUGCAGUGAGCCAAGAUCGUGCCACUGCACUCCAGCCUGGGCGACAGAGCGAGACUCCUUCCAAAAAAAAAAAAAAAAGACUGUGGGGAAACUAGGGAGGAGGCUAUGCAGCAAUCCCUGUGAGUAAUGGGAGUGCAAUGUGUGUGUCGAGAAGUGACCUGAUUCUUGGUGCAUUUUAAAGGAGAUACCAACUGCAGUUUGCUGAUGGAUUGGAUGUGAGUGGGAGAGAAAAAGAGGAGUCGAAGAUGACUUCAAUAUUUCUGGUCUGGGCCGGGUGGGAUGGCUCAUGCCUGUAUUCCCAGCUACUCGGGAGGCUGAGACAGGAGAAUCACUUGAACCUGGGAGGUAGAGGUUGCAGUGAACUGAGAUAGCACCGUUGCACUCCAGCCUGGGUGAAACAGUGACUCUGUCUCAAAAAAAAGAUUUCUGGGCCAGGAGUAGUGGCUCAUGCCUGUAAUCCCAGCACUUUGGGAGGCCAAGACUGGGGGGUCACCUGAGGUCAGGAGUUUGAGACCAGCCUGGCCAACAUGGUGAAACCUCGUCUCCACUAAAAAAUACAAAAAUUAGCCAGGCAUGAUGGCGUGUGCGUGUAGUCCCAGCUACUAAGGAGGCUGAGGCAGGGGAAUCACUUGAACCCGGGAGGCAGAGGUUGCAGUGAGCAGAGAUGGUGCCACUGCACUCCAGCCUGGGCAACAGAGCGAGACUCUGUCUCAAAAACAAGAACAAAAACAAAACAAGAUUUCUGGCUUGAGCAAUGGGAAGGAUGAAGGUGCCAUCAGCUGGCAUGGGAACCUGAGGGUGGCACUGAUUUGAGUUGGGAAGAGCAGGGGCUCAGUGCGGACCUGUCAUGUUUGGGAUGCCCGCUACACAUCCAAGAAGAACCUGAGCAGGCAUUUGGAGGUGUGUCUGGAGUUCAGGAGAGAGGUCUAGGCUGAAGCAAUGGUCAGUACCAAUAUUUAUUUAUCUUAUUUAUUUAUUGAGACAGUUUCGCUCUUGUUGCCCAGGCUGGAGUGUAAUAGCACAAUCUCAGCUCACUGCAGCCUCUGCCUCCCGGGUUCAAGCGAUUCUCCUGCCUCAGCCUCCUGAGUAGCUGGGAUUACAGGCAUGCACCACCACGCCCAGCUAAUUUUGUAUUUAUGGUAGAGACAGGGUUUCUCCAUGUUGGUCGGGCAGGUCUCAAACUCCCGACCUCAGGUGGUCUGCCUGCUUUGGCCUCCCAAAGUGCUGGGGUUAUAGGCGUGAGCCACCGCGCCCAGCCAGUACCAAUAUUUAAAGGCCCCACCAGAGUGACAUCACCCUGGGGCAGGACAGAUGGAGAAGAGGACCAAGGAUCCCACUCUAAGCAAGGUAGGGGGAAACAAGCAGGGGUCUGAGGACAGGGUUUCACGGAGGAGGAAGUGUGCCAGAUGCCAAAGGACAUGUAAGGGAGGGACUGAAACUUGAACUUCUUUAUUUAAAAAACUCCAGUGAAGUGCAAUUUACAGAUCGUAAUUUGUACGCACUCUAAGCGUACUGUUUGGUGAUUUUUGGUAAAUUCAAACAGUUGUCCAGCCACUCCCACAAUCCAGUUUUAGAAUACUCUGUCCCCAUGUCAAGUUCCCCCAUGCCCAUUUGCCUUACUGCUGGCUCCCACCCCAGCCCCCAGGAAACCACUGAUAAAGAUUUGCCUUUUCUAGAAAUGUCACCUAAAUGGAACAAUACAGUACUUGAUCAUUUAUGUCUGGCGUUCUGAGGUUCAUCCAAGUUAUUUUGUGUAUCAGUAGUGAAACUACCGAUGCAAAAUUCUAGCUGAGACAGUGAAAGAGAUCUGUCCUAGCCAGUUCCAUCUUGCUUUAACCUCCACGCUGUCCUUGUUCAAUCCUGGGCGUAGGCUGAACUUACUUUGGGAUGAACUUAGUACAUAGUUUAUAGUUUAAAACAAAGGCAGUAACAGCCCUUUCCCAAACCAAACCUCCUUCUUGCCUGGGGACUAGACUGCCUUGGUAGAACUAACAUAUUAGCCACAAGAUUAGAAAUUAUGGUUUAGGAGUCAUGCAGCUGGAGGCUAGAAGAUUCUGACCCUCUCCAAAUUGCUCCUGGGGAUAGCAUCACUAUUGUCAAACCUAAGAUCAGUGCUUGAGAUAUUUUGCAGACCUGCACUCUAUGGAUCAGUUAGCACCACCCAGAUCAAUAAACUGGCUCAUCUGAUAUUGUGGCCCCCACCCAGGAACUCACUCAAUGCAAGAGGACAGCUUCUUCUCCACCCCAGCCAAUAAACACUCCUGACCCAAUGACUGCCCCGCCACCCAGCACAUUAUUCUUAAAAACUCUGAUUCCUGAAUGCUCAGAGAGACUGUUUUGAGCAAUAAUGAAACUUCUGUCUCCUGCCCACCUGGCUCUGAGUGAAUUACUCUUUCUGUAUUGCAAUUCCCCUGUCCUGAUAAAUUGGCUGUCUAGGCAGUGGGUAAGGUGAACCUGUUGGGCGGUUACAGUAGUUCAUUCCUGUUUCAUUCCUGUUUAUUGUUUUUCUUUUUUUUCUUUUCACUUUGUUGCCCAGGCUGGAGUGCAGUGGUGCAAUCUCAGCUCACUGCAGCCUUGACCACCCAGGCUCAAGUGAUCCUCCCCCUUCAGCCUCCAGAGUAGCUGGGACUACAUGUGCGCACCACCACGCCUGGCUAAUAUUUGUAUUUUUUGUAGAGGGUCUCACUUUGUCACCCAGGCUGGAGUGCAGUGGCAUGAUCAGCUCACUGCAACCUCUGCCUCCCGGGUUCAAGUGAUUCUCGUGCCUCAGCCCACAAAGUAGCUGUGAUUACAGAUGUGAGCCACGAUGCCUGGCUAAUUUUUGCAUUUUUUGUAGAGAUGGGGGUUUCACCGUGUUGCCCAGGCUGGUCUUGAACUCCUGAGCUCAAGCAAUCCGCUUGCCUUGGCCUCCCAAAGUGCUAGGAUUACAGGCGUGAGCCGCUGUGCCUGGCCUCAUUGUCAUUUUUAUUUGCAUUUUUCUGAUGAUUACUAAUGUUGAGCAAUUUUUUCAUAUACCUGUUGGCCAUUUGUAUGUCUUUUUUUAUGUUAUUUUAUUUUUAUUUAUUUAUUUUUAAAAAAAUUUUUUAGUAUUUAUUGAUCAUUCUUGGGUGUUUCUCGGAGAGGG